CCAUGAAGCUGAUUAAUCCUGUCUCUCCUGGUAUAUUUCCUGGUGCUGCAGAUAUCCCCUCACAAGCCAGAACCACCCAGACUUCCCACUCUCCCUUUUCUAUGCUUCCCAAUGGCUCUCGAUGCAGAGGACAAAGGAAGAACAUGAUGACUACUCAGCCUGCAAUUCUGCCAAAAGGCCACUGCUGGAGAAGUAAUUACCUUGGCUACAGCAGACAUGUCAACCUUUCUGCACCUCAAGAAAUAUCACCCAUUCUUCAGGAAGGAGGAAGGACUGAGUGCCUCCCACACCUUCCUCUGGAAGUAGGAAUAUCUUAGGAAAAGCCAGCCUCGCACUUGAACUGACUCAUUUGCUAAUUCAGGGCAGAUGUGUUCAUGAAUGAUUCUCCAGGGCAGUAUAGCCCAGAGAAAGGGCUCAGGCUUCUCACAGUUCUGCCCCCUCAGCUUUAAAGUGAGGAAUAACAAUGAUAUCCACACCUA
Molecule: long non-coding RNA, 479 nt
Filed under: Rattus norvegicus (Norway rat)
Lineage: Eukaryota; Metazoa; Chordata; Mammalia; Rodentia; Muridae
Description: long non-coding RNA NONRATT024166
Source: RNAcentral